RNAcentral lists this ribosomal RNA (465 nucleotides) under uncultured bacterium. RNAcentral describes it as "partial 16S ribosomal RNA". It matches the Rfam family "Bacterial small subunit ribosomal RNA", at positions 338 to 795 of the family's 1533-position model. The record is from RNAcentral.
CCUACGGGAGGCAGCAGUAGGGAAUCUUCCACAAUGGGCGAAAGCCUGAUGGAGCAACGCCGCGUGGGUGAAGAAGGUCUUCGGAUCGUAAAACCCUGUUGUUAGAGAAGAAAGUGCGUGAGAGUAACUGUUCACGUUUCGACGGUAUCUAACCAGAAAGCCACGGCUAACUACGUGCCAGCAGCCGCGGUAAUACGUAGGUGGCAAGCGUUAUCCGGAUUUAUUGGGCGUAAAGGGAACGCAGGCGGUCUUUUAAGUCUGAUGGGAAAGCCUUCGGCUUAACCGGAGUAGUGCAUUGGAAACUGGGAGACUUGAGUGCAGAAUAGGAGAGUGGAACUCCAUGUGUAGCGGUGAAAUGCGUAGAUAUAUGGAAGAACACCAGUGGCGAAAGCGGCUCUCUGGUCUGUAACUGACGCUGAGGUUCGAAAGCGUGGGUAGCAAACAGGAUUAGAUACCCCAGUAGUC